Molecule: ribosomal RNA, 253 nt
Filed under: uncultured bacterium
Lineage: Bacteria
Description: partial 16S ribosomal RNA
Rfam family: Archaeal small subunit ribosomal RNA
Source: RNAcentral
UACCAGCACCCCGAGUGGUCGGGACGAUUAUUGGGCCUAAAGCAUCCGUAGCCGGUCCUACAAGUCUUCCGUUAAAUCCACCUGCUUAACAGAUGGGCUGCGGAAGAUACUAUAGGGCUAGGAGGCGGGAGAGGCAAGCGGUACUCAGUGGGUAGGGGUAAAAUCCGUUGAUCCAUUGAAGACCACCAGUGGCGAAGGCGGCUUGCCAGAAUGCGCUCGACGGUGAGGGAUGAAAGCUGGGGGAGCAAACCGG